UGGGGAAUAUUGGACAAUGGAGGAAACUCUGAUCCAGCAAUUCUGUGUGUGUGAAGAAGGUUUUAGGACUGUAAAACACUUUUAGUAGGGAAGAAAAAAAUGACGGUACCUACAGAAGAAGCAACGGCUAAAUACGUGCCAGCAGCCGCGGUAAUACGUAUGUUGCGAGCGUUAUCCGGAAUUAUUGGGCUUAAAGGGCAUCUAGGCGGUAAGACAAGUUGAAGGUGAAAACCUGUGGCUCAACCAUAGGCUUGCCUACAAAACUGUUGAACUAGAGUACUGGAAAGGUGGGUGGAACUACACGAGUAGAGGUGAAAUUCGUAGAUAUGUGUAGGAAUGCCGAUGAUGAAGAUAACUCACUGGACAGAAACUGACGCUGAAGUGCGAAAGCUAGGGGAGCAAAUAGG
This 407-nucleotide ribosomal RNA is filed under the name Verrucomicrobiota bacterium. RNAcentral's name for it is "Verrucomicrobia bacterium partial 16S ribosomal RNA". It matches the Rfam family "Bacterial small subunit ribosomal RNA", at positions 355 to 776 of the family's 1533-position model. Lineage: Bacteria; Pseudomonadati; Verrucomicrobiota. The record is from RNAcentral.